This is a non-coding RNA of Tenericutes bacterium GWD2_38_27, 76 nucleotides long. The record is from Rfam. NCBI's taxonomy places the organism in Bacteria, Bacillati, Mycoplasmatota.
UCAUGUUAAAGGCAAACCUAUGAGAAAUCUAGGGACGCAAAGCUAUAGGGCCUGCAAAAGGUAGCCAGUUGUCUUG